Molecule: ribosomal RNA, 743 nt
Filed under: Russula sp.
Lineage: Eukaryota; Fungi; Basidiomycota; Agaricomycetes; Russulales; Russulaceae
Description: partial large subunit ribosomal RNA
Source: RNAcentral
ACUGCGAGUGAAGCGGGAAAAGCUCAAAUUUAAAAUCUGGUGGUCUUUUGGCCAUCCGAGUUGUAAUUUAGAGAAGCGUCUUCCGCGCUGGACCRUGCACAAGUCUCCUGGAAUGGAGCGUCAUAGAGGGUGAGAAUCCCGUCUUUGGCAUGGAUCCCAGGGCUUCUGUGAUGCGCUCUCGACGAGUCGAGUUGUUUGGGAAUGCAGCUCAAAAUGGGUGGUGAACUCCAUCUAAAGCUAAAUAUUGGCGAGAGACCGAUAGCGAACAAGUACCGUGAGGGAAAGAUGAAAAGCACUUUGGAAAGAGAGUGAAACAGUACGUGAAAUUGUUGAAAGGGAAACGCUUGAAGUCAGUCGCGUUGACCGAGACUCAACCUUGCUUUGGCUUGGUGUAUUUCUCGGCUGACGGGUCAGCAUCAAUUUUGACCCUCAGAUAAUGGCAAGGGAAAGGUGGCACCUUUUAGGUGUGUUAUAGUCCCAUGUCGCAUGUGAGGGUUGGGAUUGAGGAACUCAGCAUGCACCUCUGGGUGUCGGGGCUUUGGCCCACGUUACAUGCUUAGGAUGCUGGCGUAAUGGCUUUAAACGACCCGUCUUGAAACACGGACCAAGGAGUCUAACAUACCCGCGAGUGUUCGGGUGGAAAACCCGUGCGCGUAAUGAAAGUAAAAGUUGGGACCUCUGUCGUGGAGGGCACCGACGCCCGGACCAGACCUUCUGUGACGGCUCUGCGGUAGAGCGUGUAU